AAACAAGUAUUAAAGGUCCCGCCUGCCCAGUGAAAUAUUUUAAACGGCCGCGGUAUCCUAACCGUGCAAAGGUAGCGUAAUCACUUGUCUUCUAAAUAAAGACUAGUAUGAACGGCUAAAUGAGGACAAACCUGUCUCUUACAGCUAAUCAGUGAAACUGAUCUUUCAGUACAAAAGCUGAAAUAAACACAUAAGACGAGAAGACCCUGUGGAGCUUUAAACAAACAGCUAAUAGACACCUAUAGUGUACCUAGCCUUAAGUUUUAAGUUGGGGCGACUUCGGAACCAAACAAAACUUCCGAGCACAGAAUCACCACUUCUCACCAAGGCCAACAAGCCAAAGUAUUAAGCCGACCCAGUCAUACUGAUCAACGAACCAAGUUACCCCAGGGAUAACAGCGCUAUCUUCUUCAAGAGUCCCUAUCGACAAGAAGGUUUACGACCUCGAUGUUGGAUCAGGACACCCAAAUGGUGCAGCCGCUAUUAAAGGUUCGUUUGUUCAACGAUUAACAG
This 513-nucleotide ribosomal RNA is filed under the name Bellatorias major (land mullet). RNAcentral's name for it is "partial 16S ribosomal RNA". It matches the Rfam family "Bacterial large subunit ribosomal RNA", at positions 1837 to 2593 of the family's 2925-position model. The record is from RNAcentral. Lineage: Eukaryota; Metazoa; Chordata; Lepidosauria; Squamata; Scincidae.